CACAAAUAUAUUGAAGGUGCUGCUGGUUACUUAACUCCAAUAUAGGAACUUAGCUCAUUAUAACAAAUGCAACGGUUUUAGGCCCAUAUAUUUUAUCAUUAAUAUCCGAGGCCCCAUUAUAUAAAAUAAGUUGGUUCAUUAGAAGUCGAUGUGCAUCUUAUAUUUAUGUGAAAGAAAGAAGACUCACAUUUGAGAAGGGAUCCACAUUUUUUUUCAAAGAACUUAGACCACCUCCAUCGAUGAGGUCUUAAGUAGAGUUUCAAGCAAAAAUGAAAAAAAAUAAAUGAAAAAUGGGGAAAAAAGAAAGAACCGGGUCUUUAAUUGGGUUAUUUGGAACUGAUAAGACACCCUAACAUGACAUUAUCCCAUUCGAUCACUUCUUUAAUGUCUCUCUCUCCUUCGUCUCGCGAAAUCAAUUUGGCUUCCUCCUCCAUUCUCGAUCAAUCUGUCGCUGCUCUCGAAUUUCAUCAUCUCAUCUCAUCGUUCUAUUCUGAGAUCUCAUCUCAUCUCAUCUCAUCGUCCUCGGUUAGGCAAGGCUUCCUCCUUCAUUCUCUUUGCUCUCGAAUCUCAUCUCAUCUCAUCGUUCUCUUCUGAGAUCUCAUCUCAUCGUUCUCGGUUAGUCAAGGAUCUCAUCUCAUCUCAGAAGAGAAGAAGGCUUGAAGAGAAAGCAAGGAUCGACGGAAGGAUGAAACUCAGACAACAUGCAAGGCUUGCGGUAAUGAAGGGGGAAGAAGAUGAAGAAGAAGAAGAAGAAGCAAGAUCAGACUGUUCGUGUGAGUUUGCUUUUGAUUCAUUACGGAAUCAACACAAACGUCAGAAAUAGAUUCACCAUCAUCAAAGCAUCUGUAUUUUAUUUCAGAAAGCAACAGGUAUAUCACAUGGUACUUGCAGACAAAGACAGUUACCAUGUGACAGAACAAGACAAUAUGUUUGAUGUAAUAAAGUUGUUGAGUUUUGUAUCUCGUGAAGUCCUAAUUUGUGUGAAAUGUUUCACGUUGUUUUUUAGUUGUACCAAACGAUAUACAACCUGUCUAAACUUGUCUAUAUAAACUUGUGAGAAAGAAAUCAAAUGCAAAACAAAACAACAACUUUGAGCAUCUUCACAUCUUUUUCAAAAGCAAUUGUUUUUUCUCCUUAACCGAGCAAAACAAAUCAUCUCUAAGCAAUUGUUUCUUCUCCUUCACGUUUCUUAUCCUUCUCAUUUCUUCUUCUUCACAUUUCUUCUUCUUCUCAUUUCUUCUCCUUCUCAUUUCAAAUGGCAUCUUCUUCUUCUAAUAAUUUCGAAGACUUGGAUGAAAGAUUUGAUCAAAUUUUCGAUCAACAAUUCGAAAAUCUUCUAAUUCGUCAUAUUGAGCAUCAAGAAGCAUCAAGGUCAAAAAAGAAACGAGCCUACAUUGAAAGACAACGAGAAGAAUGACACAUGCAGUUAUGGAACGAUUAUUUUGGUGAAGAUGCAACAUAUCCUUCUCACAUGUUUCGACGACAUUUUCGAAUGAACAAGCCCUUGUUCAUGCGUAUUGUUGAUCGACUAUCCGCUGAAAUCCCAUACUUUCAACAAAGAAGAGAUGCUACUGGAAGGUUCAGCCACUCCCCGUUACAAAAGGCAACGGCAGCAAUUCGUAUGAUGGCAUAUGGUUGCCCAGCUGAUGCGGUCGACGAAUACCUCCGACUUGGCGAGACCACCGCGCUUUUAUGCUUGGAACAUUUUUUCAAGGAAUCAUAAAUUUAUUUGGAGAUGAGUAUCUAAGAAGACCCACGCUAGAAGAUCUUCAACGUCUACUCGAUAUUGGAGAGAUAUGCGGGUUUUCCGGGAUGAUAGGAAUCAUUGAUUGUAUGCAUUGGGAGUGGAAGAAUUGUCCGACCGCAUGGAAAUGUCAAUACACACGUGGAUCAGGAAAGCCAACAAUUGUUUUAGAAGCUGUAGCUUCACAAGAUCUCUAGAUAUGGCACACGUUUUUUGGACCUCCAGGUACAUUAAACGAUAUCAAUGUUCUUGAUCGAUCACCGGUUUUUUAUGAUAUAUUACAAGGUCAAUCUCCAAAAGUUAAUUACAUUGUCAACGGACACGAGUACAAUUUGGCUUACUAUCUCACAGAUGAUAUUUAUCCAAAAUGAGCUACUUUUGUCCAAUCUAUUUCCCUUCCGCAAGGUCCGAAAGCAUCUUUAUUCGCUACACAACAAGAAGUUGUACGUAAAGAUGUCGAGCGUGUUUUUGGGGUCUUGCAAGCUCGAUUUGCCAUAGUAAAAAAUCCAGCUCUUUUGUGGGAUAAAACAAUAAUUGGAAAGAUAAUGAUAGCAUGUAUCAUUCUACAUAAUAUGAUUGUAGAAGACGAACGAGAUGGGUACACUCAGUAUGAUUUAUCUGUUUUCUCGCAACCGGAAUCAAACCGAAGUUCACAAGUGGAUAGCACGUUUUUUACAGAUAUGCCUUCAAAUAUCGGCAAUAUGAUGAGCAUUCGGAAUCGAGUUCGUGAUAGAAGAAUACAUCAACAAUUGAUAGAUGAUUUGGUUGAGAAUAUAUGGCAAAAAUUUGGAACAAAUCAAGAUUUCACUAAUCGUUUUUUUCUCGUUUACUAUUUGUAUUUGUAUUUGUAAUAUGUUUUAAUGCCAUUUUUAUUAAAAAAAUU
Molecule: long non-coding RNA, 2627 nt
Organism: Brassica napus (rape)
Lineage: Eukaryota; Viridiplantae; Streptophyta; Magnoliopsida; Brassicales; Brassicaceae
Exons: 3
Source: RefSeq, a predicted model, not a curated record